GGGGCUGAUCGGUAUCGACGCCGAUGGCAGUGGUCGUGACGUGCGACCGGAGUUGCCCAGACUCCCAAAACGGGGCACCAACAGAGACGCCAAGACGGACGAUCUCGCUCUCGCCGCCUGACCCAGUCAGGUGACCGAGAGUCAUCGCGACCGGUAACGGCACGCGGGGUCGGUCCACCGCAACCCGGCAACAGAAGCGGUGGAGACAGCUGGGACAGACCGCUGACGGCGUGAAAGACCGCUGACCCGGAGGAAAGACUCCGUGGCGGGGCCCUCGUGGCCCGCCCGACCCGGCGGGGUGGCAGCCAUCGAGCCACGCACUCGGGAAUGGUCGUAGCGCGCACGGUCAUCCUUCGACGGACGGGGGUUCGAUUCCCCCCAGCUCCACAA
RNAcentral lists this transfer-messenger RNA (390 nucleotides) under Acidimicrobiales. Its description in RNAcentral is "UBA9410 sp002727895 Standard tmRNA". It matches the Rfam family "transfer-messenger RNA". From Rfam's summary of the family: Bacterial tmRNA, also known as 10Sa RNA or SsrA, is named for its dual tRNA and mRNA-like properties. Its role is to liberate the mRNA from a stalled ribosome. To accomplish this part of the tmRNA is used as a reading frame that ends in a translation stop signal. RNAcentral also lists the same sequence under 1 other name. Lineage: Bacteria; Bacillati; Actinomycetota; Acidimicrobiia. The record is from RNAcentral.